Molecule: ribosomal RNA, 497 nt
Filed under: uncultured bacterium
Lineage: Bacteria
Description: partial 16S ribosomal RNA
Rfam family: Bacterial small subunit ribosomal RNA
Source: RNAcentral
GAUGAACGCUGGCGGCGUGCCUAAUACAUGCAAGUCGAGCGAACGGACGAGAAGCUUGCUCCUCUGAUGUUAGCGGCGGACGGGUGAGUAACACGUGGAUAACCUACCUAUAAGACUGGGAUAACUUCGGGAAACCGGAGCUAAUACCGGAUGACAUUUUGAACCGCAUGGUUCAACAGUGAAAGACGGUUUUGCUGUCACUUAUAGAUGGAUCCGCGCUGCAUUAGCUAGUUGGUAAGGUAACGGCUUACCAAGGCAACGAUGCAUAGCCGACCUGAGAGGGUGAUCGGCCACACUGGAACUGAGACACGGUCCAGACUCCUACGGGAGGCAGCAGUAGGGAAUCUUCCGCAAUGGGCGAAAGCCUGACGGAGCAACGCCGCGUGAGUGAUGAAGGUCUUCGGAUCGUAAAACUCUGUUAUUAGGGAAGAACAUAUGUGUAAGUAACUGUGCACAUCUUGACGGUACCUAAUCAGAAAGCCACGGCUAACUACGUG